AUACGUAGGUGACAAGCGUUAUCCGGAUUUACUGGGCGUAAAGGGCGUGUAGGCGGUCUUGCAAGUCAGAAGUGAAAUUCCUGAGCUCAACUCGGGCGCUGCUUCUGAAACUGCAGGACUUGAGUGCUGGAGGGGAUAGCGGAAUUCCUAGUGGAGCGGUAAAAUGCGCAGAUAUUAGGAAGAACACCGGUGGCGAAGGCGGCUAUCUGGACAGUAACUGACGCUGAGGCGCGAAAGCGUGGGGAGCAAACAGGAUUAGAUACCCUGGUAGUCCACACUGUAAACGAUGAAUGCUAGGUGUAAGAGGUAUCGACCCCUUUUGUGCCGGAGUUAACACAAUAAGCAUUCCGCCUGGAGAGUACGGCCGCAAGGUUGAAACUCAAAUGAAUUGGCGGGG
Molecule: ribosomal RNA, 397 nt
Filed under: uncultured bacterium
Lineage: Bacteria
Description: partial 16S ribosomal RNA
Rfam family: Bacterial small subunit ribosomal RNA
Source: RNAcentral